RNAcentral lists this ribosomal RNA (1056 nucleotides) under Triticum aestivum (bread wheat). RNAcentral's name for it is "partial small subunit ribosomal RNA". Lineage: Eukaryota; Viridiplantae; Streptophyta; Magnoliopsida; Poales; Poaceae. The record is from RNAcentral.
AUGGCGGGCACGGUGGUGAGCAUGGCGAGGUCCAUGCUGGGCGCUGUCAUCAGCGUGGCCGCCUCUGCCGCCGCCACGGAGAUGAGCCUUCUCAUCGGCGUCCGCAAGGACAUCUGGUUCAUAAAAGAUGAGCUCAAGACGAUGCAAGCAUUCCUAGCGGCCGCGGAGAGAAUGAAGAACAAAAACAUGCUACUGAAGGUGUGGGCAGAGCAAGUAAGAGAUCUAGCAUACGACAUCGAGGAUUGCCUUGAUGAGUUUAUGGUGCAUGUGGGAAGUCAGAGCCGGUCUCGACUGCUGCUUAAGCUGAAAGACCGCCAUCGAAUUGCCAGCCAAAUUCGUGAUCUCAAAGCAAGAGUAGAAGAGGUGAGCAUCAGGAACACACGCUAUAACUUGAUCACCGCCGAUUCCUCCAGCAGCAUUGAUGAUGUGAAUUCCUAUAUGGAAGAUAUUCGCAGCCACUCAGCUAGCAAUAUUGAUGAGGCAGAGCUUGUGGGCUUUGCUAAGGCUAAACUAGAGUUGAUUGAGAUGGUGGAUGUCAACUCUAGAGAUGGUAUUUGCAAGGUGAUAUGUGUUGUUGGCAUGGGUGGUUUAGGCAAGACUACUCUCGCAAGGAAGGCAUUUGAAAGUAAGGAAGACAUUAAGAACACAUUUUCUUGUUGUGCAUGGGUCACCGUCUCGCAGUCCUUUUCCAAGAUAGAGAUGCUCAAGGACAUGAUUAGGCAACUUUUGGGUACCGAUUCAAUGAAGAAAUGCUUGAAAGAUCUUGAAGGCAAGUCAUUGCAAGUAGAGCAUCUCUCCAGCUACCUUAGAGAAAAGCUGGAGGAUAAGAGAUACUUUAUUGUUCUUGAUGAUUUGUGGACCAUCGAUGCAUGGAAUUGGAUCAAAGAUAUUGCUUUUCCUAUUAGAAACAACAAAGGCAGCCGAAUAAUAGUAACAACACGAGAUGCUGGCUUGGCUGAGCAAUGCACUUCUGAAUCGCUUAUUUACCACCUUAAGCACCUGCAAAUAGAGGAUGCCACAGAUUUGCUACUAAGAAAGAGUGGAAAAAACACAUGA